GUUUUUAAUUGCUGUGAGCAUUUCCUGAAUUUCUGGUUUCACAUUUGCUGCAUUUCACGCUGUGUUUUUUUUUUUUUUGAAUCUGUCACUCAUUAUUUCGAUUUCUAUUUUAGGCAUUUUUAUGUUUCCCAAUGCUCCCGUGUGUUUCCCUGGGGGGGAUUUCCUUAUGUGGCUGAAAGUCUCGUUUGCCUGCAGCUGUGUUUCACUGAGCAAUCAUUGCCUUGUGGGAAUGCAGGAGCAAGGAGCGUGGCAAUUGGUCAAUUUUUGGGAGCCUGGGGGUUUUAACCUUUUAAGGAGGCCUAUAGGUUUUUUUGGAAUGCCUUUUGGAUACUCCAACUCAGUGUUCUAGAACUCCAUUGCUUUCAGUCGCCAGUGGCAAUUGUUACAUCAGCAUUGGAAGGUUCAGUCAAGGUUGUGUUUGUCAUGACCUUAUUACACAUUAAACUAAUGGGCUAAAAGCUGGUUUUGAGAGACCGUUGGGAGCUUGUUCUUGUGGUGAGUUUUGUUGCAGGGUCACAGGAGGAUGGGGACAGGCACGUCAUUUUUGCCUCGGCUGACCAGAGAUGUAAAUCGUGAAAGUUACUCAGAGGAGGGCCAGUCACGUGAUCCGGUACCCCAGAGGCCACAAACGUUCUAUGUAUAAUGACACCCUGCAACCAUUUUGCGAUCCAAACAAGUACACCCCAAGCAGCAUACAACGUGUGAACACUUUGAAGUCCGAGGAAUGGAAGUCGGCCAAUCAUUUCUCCCAUGUGAUGUGAAUGCAAUGAAUCCCAUGUGACGUGAAUGCUGAUAGGCCAGCUUGAAGCCUACAGAAGAGACCUUCUCCCUGUCUGCUCUGUCUCUCAUUCCUGACAAAAGGCACCACAGUUGUUCAUGCAUUGUUUGUAUUGGCUCUGUUAUUGUAAUUUUUCUUUCCUUGUAAAUAUAAAACUUUUGUUGGCACAAAUGAAUCAGAAUUAAUUUUUUUAAAUGCCAUUGUCUUCUUGGACAUAAGGCUGUAGUACAAUGUAUUUUGCUGUUAUCCUCUAAGAGUCAUGUAUUAUAUAUUAGUUCAAAAUUACAUUCAUUUAUUUAACCUGGCCUGUUUUUGUACAGCACUUUGAGUUGCUUUUUGCAUGAAAGGUGCAAUAUAAAUAUAAAUAAACUUGAAACUUGUUAAAUUAGGAAGUCUUCCUGUUUGUUUGAAU
Anguilla rostrata (American eel) is the source of this 1190-nucleotide long non-coding RNA. RefSeq lists it as uncharacterized. NCBI's taxonomy places the organism in Eukaryota, Metazoa, Chordata, Actinopteri, Anguilliformes, Anguillidae. The transcript has 3 exons. The record is from RefSeq and is a predicted model, not a curated record.